Molecule: ribosomal RNA, 253 nt
Filed under: uncultured bacterium
Lineage: Bacteria
Description: partial 16S ribosomal RNA
Rfam family: Bacterial small subunit ribosomal RNA
Source: RNAcentral
UACGGAGGAGGCAAGCGUUAUCGGGAAUUAUUGGGCGUCAAGCGUUCGUAGGUGGCUAAUCAAGCCUGCGGUUAAAGACUGGAGCUCAACUCCAGAAGAGCCGUGGAAACUGAGAAGCUAGAGGCCGGUAGGGGUAGAGGGAAUUCCCAGUGUAGCGGUGAAAUGCGUAGAGAUUGGGAAGAACACCGGUGGCGAAAGCGCGCUGCUGGACCGGAACUGACACUGAGGGACGAAAGCUAGGGGAGCGAAUGGG